GAUGAACGCUGGCGGCGUGCCUAAUACAUGCAAGUCGAGCGAACAGAUGAGGAGCUUGCUCCUCUGACGUUAGCGGCGGACGGGUGAGUAACACGUGGAUAACCUACCUAUAAGACUGGGAUAACUUCGGGAAACCGGAGCUAAUACCGGAUAAUAUAUUGAACCGCAUGGUUCAAUAGUGAAAGACGGUUUUGCUGUCACUUAUAGAUGGAUCCGCGCCGCAUUAGCUAGUUGGUAAGGUAACGGCUUACCAAGGCAACGAUGCGUAGCCGACCUGAGAGGGUGAUAGGCCACCCUGGAACUGAGACAAGCUCCAGACUCCUACGGGAGGCAGCAGUAGGGAAUCUUCAGCAAUGGGCGAAAGCCUGCCGGAGCACCGCCGCGUGAGUGAUGAAGGUCUCCGGAUCGUAAAACUCUGUUAUUAGGGAAGAACAAAUGUGUACGUAACUAUGCACGUCUUGACGGUACCUAAUCAGAAAGCCACGGCUAACUACGUG
This 497-nucleotide ribosomal RNA is filed under the name uncultured bacterium. RNAcentral describes it as "partial 16S ribosomal RNA". It matches the Rfam family "Bacterial small subunit ribosomal RNA", at positions 28 to 507 of the family's 1533-position model. The record is from RNAcentral.